Molecule: ribosomal RNA, 497 nt
Filed under: uncultured bacterium
Lineage: Bacteria
Description: partial 16S ribosomal RNA
Rfam family: Bacterial small subunit ribosomal RNA
Source: RNAcentral
GAUGAACGCUGGCGGCGUGCCUAAUACAUGCAAGUCGAGCGAACGGACGAGAAGCUUGCUCCUCUGAUGUUAGCGGCGGACGGGUGAGUAACACGUGGAUAACCUACCUAUAAGACUGGGAUAACUUCGGGAAACCGUAGCUAAUACCGGAUAAUAUAUUGAACCGCAUGGUUCAAUAGUGAAAGACGGUCUUGCUGUCACUUAUAGAUGGAUCCGCGCUGCAUUAGCUAGUUGGUAAGGUAACGGCUUACCAAGGCAACGAUGCAUAGCCGACCUGAGAGGGUGAUCGGCCACACUGGAACUGAGACACGGUCCAGACUCCUACGGGAGGCAGCAGUAGGGAAUCUUCCGCAAUGGGCGAAAGCCUGACGGAGCAACGCCGCGUGAGUGAUGAAGGUCUUCGGAUCGUAAAACUCUGUUAUUAGGGAAGAACAAAUGUGUAAGUAACUGUGCACAUCUUGACGGUACCUAAUCAGAAAGCCACGGCUAACUACGUG